GCUGCCGCCCCUGGCCUGCCAGGACCCAGAGGGAGCGGAGCACGCGCCUUUGGGAAUCUUCGGUGCGCCAAGUCUGUUCGCCGCCGGGGUCUAUCACCCCCGCCCCUCGCCUCUGCCCGUGAGCGUGUGAGUUGUAGCGUACCCUGGGGUCUGUUCUGGAGGAGGCCUGAGAGCGGGGUUGCCUGGGGCGUGGGUCUCUCAUCCCUCUCGUCCUGGUGAAGAAGAAGAGUAUACCCAGCGGGAAUCUUGGUACCAAUAAUUGCAGAGGUAGAAGUCAGAGAAUGGCCUGUCCAGAAGACAGCCAAAUACAUCCUUCAAACAGACUUCACUGCAGGAGACAGAGUGGAUUCAUCCUGUAUUCUCCAUGUAGACUUCCAUCUUCAUGAGUACUCCAAGAAGAUGGUUCAGUUGACUAUUGCAAAGAUCACCGCCAGAUGCAAAAAACCACCGCUAAGCAUUUUGUAAAAUGCUGAGACAUAUUUGAGCAACUCUUGAUGAAGGCCCUGACCACAUUUCUUUCAUGUUCUAGACAAAAUACCUGGAGAGAAUGGCAAGCUUCCAGGCUCUUGCUCAGCCUUUCUUCCCCCUUGUCAGUGCAGUCAGGGAUAAGCAUCUAUUUUUAAUUAAUAGUAUUUCUUAAGAAUGAAAACACCAUUCACUUUUGCAACUGUCAACUUAAGUACAGCUGCUGUUUUGAGCUAUGUCUUUUAUAAUCGGAGUGGAUUCCAUACCUCUCAUCCCUGGAUUUUCAUCUUGUGGCACUGGAUGUUGAAUGGCUCAGUGCCUCUGAUAAGAAAAAAAUUGUGCUUCAAGUUUAUGAAUAAGUAGGAGAUAUCUUGGACCUGGGAAAUGGAGAGGAUUUUACCACAAUUGUGUCUGUGUCAGACUCUGCAAAUUGCCUGCUUUCUUGCUAACAGAACUCUGAUUUGGGGACUGAAGGAGGAGAGUGGGCCACAAUGUGCCCAGCUCGAGGCAGUGGCUCAUUAUAGGUCUAAGCUCUAAGCUGGUCACAAAAUUCUGCACCUGGUUUUCCCAGUCAAUCCUGGCCAUUGAGAUAUAAGGGGAAGACUGCUGAGUCUGGGAUAGCUUUUGCUUUCCUGUAAAAAGGAACAGAUGUAUCUGGUUCGACCCCUUUUCUGACCUUUCUGAACAUGGCUGUGAUGCCUGAAGCCACAGCCACCAUCUUGUGUCCAUGAAGAAACAGGCACAACAGCAGAGCUGAAGAAGCAAUGGCUGAGAUAGAGCAGAGCUGCUGACCCCAUGCCAGCAGCUGCCUACUGCCAGACUUUGUAUUAGGUGAGAAAAAAAUAAGAUCUUAUUUAAGCCACUGGAUGUCAAGUUAUCAAGGAAUGCUGAUAAAUUCAUUCCUGAGUCCACCAUCUGGUCUUCUCUAACACAUUUGCUGGAUCUUGGUCAAACCAGCAGGAGUUUCAGAGCAGACUCACAUCCUCUGCAUCAGCAACGACACAGGGCACUCAUGCUGUUAGAGCUGCUGUGCCUAGUCACUUACCUCCUCCCAAGGCUGAGCACAGAACUUUUUCAUCAUCUCAGUCACCUUUUCCUGAGAGACUUUCUCUGAUGUCAAGUUUAAAAACUUCAUCACAAAGUAAAAAGCUGAAAAUGCCUACAAGAGAAAAUCGCAGUUUUAGGCUGUGUUCCACACAGAGGGAUGCCAACUUGCUCUCCUAAAGGCCGCAUCCCUUGUGCAGGUGCCUGGAAAGUUCUGCUGAGUAAAUUAACACACAAAGUGAUAUUGCAGGCCCAAGAGCUGUUUCCUUCCUGGAAGAGGAGCCACUUUGCUGCUGACACACAUUUCUAAGCCACCUGGCAGUUACUUUUCUCCAUAAUUGUAAUAGAAGAGUCAGGGAGAAAGAAAAAUGGGGAAAGAGAAUAAGAAAAGAGAGAGAAAGGGGUUGCAAAAAUCCCAUUUAAAAAUACUAUGUAC
Long non-coding RNA from Homo sapiens (human), 1945 nucleotides. Ensembl annotates it as ENTPD1 antisense RNA 1. Its record names the gene ENTPD1-AS1. The record is from Ensembl. Lineage: Eukaryota; Metazoa; Chordata; Mammalia; Primates; Hominidae.